AAGGUCAUCAUUGAAGCCAGCUCAGCUGCUAAGCAGUUCACUUCAGAGUGUAAUAAACGUUUGAGGCAGUUAUAUUGCUGUCAGCAAUAUGAGUGGAAAAGAUUAUUGAAAUACUGUACUGGUGAUAUGUGUCAUAAGAAUCCUACUGGACCGUUUUAGCCAACUGAAAUGUGAGACAAAUAAAAGUGCCUCCAGAAUCUUCAAUUGGAACAUGGGUCAUUCCACAUGAUCAAAUCAAAUUUUAUUGGUCACGCACUUUUAGCAGAUGUUAUUGCGGGUGUAGAGAAAUGCUUGUGUUUCUCCCUACACCAAGAUUUGACUAUUCAAUGUUCACUUUGAACAAAAAUAUUUCAACAGGGAACAGAUUCAUCAUAUCAAAACGAGAGUUCAGUUCACAGUGACCUGAAAAUGAAAAACAUGACAUAAUUAAUAAUCUUCCAACCUGUAUUUGUCAUAUUAACGAAACAACUAGCAAUGAUACAAUUAUGAUGAAAACUUGGAGACAUUUUGGGGUUAAGGAGGUUCAAAUCUUCCUAGAAGUCACAGAGGGUGCACAGAGGGACAUUCCUAAAUGCAUUUUGGGGUUAAGGAGGUUAAAAUCUUCCUAGAAGUCACAGAGGGUUCACAGAGGGACAUUCCUAAAUGCAUUUUGGGGUUAAGGAGGUUAAAAUCUUCCUAGAAGUCACAGAGGGUUCACAGAGGGACAUUCCUAAAUGCAUUUGGGGUUAAGGAGGUUAAAAUCUUCCUAGAAGUCACAGAGGGUUCACACAGGGACAUUCCUAAAUGCAUUAUGCCACUUUAGCAAGUCUUGAUUCAUAUUAGAAAUCAGAGCAUUUCAUUUAAUACAACAGGCUUUUAAAAUGUUAUAUUUGUACACAAUUUCUACAUAAAAUGUCAAAGGGAUGUGAAAGGGACUCAUUUCGUGGAACGACUAUCAAACUGAAGAUAAAUAAACUACAUGACCAAAAGUAUGUGGACACCUGCUCGUCAGGCAUCUCAUUCUAAAAUCAUAGGCAUUAAAAUGGAGUUGGUCUCCCCUUUGCUGCUAUAACAGCCUCCACUCCUGUGAUAAGGCUUUCUACUAGAACAUUGCUGUGUGGACUUGCAUCCAUUCAGCCACAAGAAACGUGGACUCAGUCCAUUACAGUAUAUGAGGUUCAGUAGAAGUAACGUGGACUCAGUCCAUUACAGUAUAUGAGGUUCAGUAGAAGUAACAUGGACUCAGUCCAUUACAGUAUAUGAGGUUCAGUAGAAGUAACGUGGACUCAGUCCAUUACAGUAUAUGAGGUUCAGUAGAAGUAACAUGGACUCAGUCCAUUACAGUAUAUGAGGUUCAGUAGAAGCAACAUGGACUCAGUCCAUUACAGUAUAUGAGGUUCAGUAGAAGUAACAUUGGGAUUAAUCAAACUUUUGAUAUUGUCAUAAUUAUUAUUAAUGACAUCUAUCAUUUACGUAAACUCAGUGAAAUUCAAUUCAGAGACAAAUAUGACAUUA
Molecule: long non-coding RNA, 1494 nt
Organism: Oncorhynchus keta (chum salmon)
Lineage: Eukaryota; Metazoa; Chordata; Actinopteri; Salmoniformes; Salmonidae
Exons: 3
Source: RefSeq, a predicted model, not a curated record